UAUGAACCCAACUGUGCGUCCCUCAAGAGAGAGAGGUCAAAGGAUUAUGGUGUUAACUUUAAAGGCAGAAGUUCAGGAGAACAUAAGAGCCAGAGUAAUGCUGAAAGGAACCAACCUGGACCUGAAUAUGAACCCAACUGUGAGCCCCUCAGGAGAGAAAGGUCAAAGGAUUAUGGUGUUAACUUUAAAGGCAGAAGUUCAGGAGAACAUAAGAGCCAGAGUAAUGCUGAAAGGAACCAACCUGGACCUGAAUAUGAACCCAACUGUGAGUCCAUCAGGAGUGACAGGUCAAAGGAUUAUGGUGUUAACUUCAAAGACAUCAGUUCAAGAGUGGAACAGUAAGUGCUUGUCAGAGUUAAAGGAGGCUAGAUAAUAAUUCAGCUGAUCAAUAGUUUUCAGCUGAAAGACUUGAGGUCUGGUUUAGUUCUUGAUCUCUCUGAAAGAGGGGCGUUGCAUGCAAAUUUGUCCCACAAAUCGCAUUUGGUGUAAAAGCUACUUAAGGGCAGGGAUAACUAGCGUAGUUUAGUCUGUUUAGUUUAGCAAUCAACUAUUGUUUAUAUUUAAAACCAACUUGCUGCUUCUGUUCAAUUACCGGCAUGAAGCUCAAUGAGACAACUGUUUAGUGAUAUUAGGCUAUAUAAAUAAAGUUGAAUUGAAUUGAAUACGUGU
Oryzias melastigma (Indian medaka) is the source of this 669-nucleotide long non-coding RNA. RefSeq lists it as uncharacterized. NCBI's taxonomy places the organism in Eukaryota, Metazoa, Chordata, Actinopteri, Beloniformes, Adrianichthyidae. The record is from RefSeq and is a predicted model, not a curated record. The transcript is spliced from 3 exons.